UCAGUACAGUCUGUUUCAGAUCCACUCAGUGACUUAGAAAAUGAAAGUGGUGACACUCUUCUUCAUAAAUACCACAACAAUCACAGCUUGACUCAUCAUGAUGAUCACAGGACGUCACUCAAAGCAGAGACACUCCCACCACCUAAAACUCUUCACAUGUCGGUAAAUACGCUGCCAUUCAUUGAUCAGCCUCAGAGCUCCAGAACAUGGACGUUAGCAGACACGGUCACCUCAGCUUUGUUAUAUUUCUGCUGUGGAUGAAAGGUCUAACUGAUGGAAGUGAUGUGACACAGACCUCCAUAGUGUGGGGAAAGAAGGGCGAAAGUGCAACAAUGCACUGCAACCACACAAAGGGGUUGUUUUUUAUCCAUAUGUACUGGUACAGACAGCUGCCUGGAGAAACUAUGAAACAGAUCGUCUACACAAGGACUGGCAAUGACAAUCAUGACUUUGGAGAAUUCAGCAAAGAGAAAUUCUCAGCCACCAAGACUGCUCCUGAGAAUGGGACGUUCACAGUGAAGAAUCUGGAGCCAGGAGAUAAAGGCUUGUAUUUCUGUGCUGUCAGUGAUACACAUUGA
Molecule: non-coding RNA, 578 nt
Organism: Mugil cephalus (flathead mullet)
Lineage: Eukaryota; Metazoa; Chordata; Actinopteri; Mugiliformes; Mugilidae
Source: the annotation of a RefSeq genome assembly